Molecule: long non-coding RNA, 338 nt
Organism: Mauremys reevesii (Reeves's turtle)
Lineage: Eukaryota; Metazoa; Chordata; Testudines; Geoemydidae
Exons: 3
Source: RefSeq, a predicted model, not a curated record
CGGUACUCUAACAGUUUGGACGCUGCUGUGGCAAAACAAGCUGGGUACACCCAGCCAGUCUCGGCAACAGGCCAUGGAACCUUAAAAAUUACCGAUGUGGCAAGAAAAGCUAAACGUGGAAGCCCCAUUUAAAACCUCAUCGAAGGAGGCUAAGUGAACAGAUUGUAAAUAGUAACCUUGUAGUGAAUUUCUGUCCAACUGGGACUCAGGAGGUGUUAAUGCUCAAGGUUGGAAACAGUGGACUCCAUUAUCUUUCCUUUGCAAAGAGUUUUAUAACAGAGGAGUAACAGAACACCUUUGGAGAGGGAUAUAGCUAAUAAAAUAAUGUGACCAAUCUG